Molecule: non-coding RNA, 77 nt
Organism: Serratia marcescens subsp. marcescens Db11
Lineage: Bacteria; Pseudomonadati; Pseudomonadota; Gammaproteobacteria; Enterobacterales; Yersiniaceae
Source: Rfam
GAAUACCAUCGUGAUGUGGUUGUGUUGAUCAUAAUGCUAUGAUAAUAGGGCAAUAAUUUUAUUGUCCUUUUUUUUAA